This 274-nucleotide ribosomal RNA is filed under the name uncultured bacterium. Its description in RNAcentral is "partial 16S ribosomal RNA". It matches the Rfam family "Bacterial small subunit ribosomal RNA", at positions 523 to 796 of the family's 1533-position model. The record is from RNAcentral.
AUACGGAGGGUGCAAGCGUUACUCGGAAUCACUGGGCGUAAAGCGCGCGCAGGCGGCUAUUUAAGUUGGAUGUGAAAGCCUACGGCUCAACCGUAGAACUGCAUCCAAAACUAUUUAGCUAGAGUGUGGGAGAGGAAGAUGGAAUUAGUUGUGUAGGGGUAAAAUCCGUAGAGAUAACUAGGAAUGCCAAAAGCGAAGGCAAUCUUCUGGAACACUACUGACGCUGAGGCGCGAAAGCGUGGGGAGCAAACAGGAUUAGAAACCCUAGUAGUCC